Long non-coding RNA from Alligator mississippiensis (American alligator), 2102 nucleotides. RefSeq lists it as uncharacterized. The transcript has 2 exons. The record is from RefSeq and is a predicted model, not a curated record. Lineage: Eukaryota; Metazoa; Chordata; Crocodylia; Alligatoridae.
CGGGCGGGGCCCGGCAGCGCCGCCUCCUCCCGCGCCGCCGGGAAGAGCCGGGCGUGGCCGCGGGGCUCCGCCCGGCCCCGGCCCCGGCCCCGGCCCCGGCGCGGAGCCACCUGGGGUCGGCGGCAGGGAGCCGGGCCGGGCUGCGCAAGAGGAGCCCGAGGCGGGGAGCGCGGAGGAUGGAGCGCGGGGUGACAGAGCGAGGAGCAACGGGCUCAAGUGGCAGCAAGGGGAGCCGGGCUCCGAGAUCAGGAUGAACUUUCCAAUGGGCGGGGAAGCGCCGGGCCAGGCUGCCCGCAGAGGUGGGGGUGACUCCAUCCCUGGAGGCUUUGAAGACCCGGCCAGACAAAGCUUUGACUGGGAUGAGGUCCUUGGGGCUGCUUCUGCUUGGAACCGGGGGUUGGACUCGCUGUGACCUCCCCUCCAGCCCUAUGACUGUCCUGUCCCCAGGCCUCCUUCGGCUGGGUGGAGGGCAGCUGUGCCCUUACACCUCCGCCCCCAGCCCUGGUUUCUCUUCCAGUCCCCUGAAGAAGAAACCACCUGAUGCGCACUUGGUGGCCCCGGCUCGCAGGGGCUUUCAGCCCUCACUCCCCAUGCACAUCACGUAGGCCUGCACCACUGGGGUCUUGGGGAGUUCAUUCCAGGAGAGAAAACGGCCCCCGUUUUUUCUGUCCUCCACCAAGCAAGUGGAAGCUCACAGCCUGCAUUUUUGAAGGGGUGCCUUGAGUCCAAGGAGCAAGCCUGGGGUCUCCAAAAGUUGAGGAUCCCAGCCUCUACAUUUGGGGCUCAUUCCUGUUUUUGAUUACUCUCUUCAGAGCAGAACCAAACUGUCCCUUAGAAGAAGCUCUGGAGAAGGGGCAGGCGCGAAAGCCCAGCUCCACAAGAGGCGGCCACAUAGGUUUCCUUGAAGAACAUGACAAAGGGACACCAGUGGCUCAUUCUGCCAAGCUCCUGCCCACCUGAAUAUCUGAAGAACAGUAACGCACAUUCACUGUGUUUAAGAGCUCAGUGGCAGGUGGCUGUGCUAUCUACCAGAUUUGUAGAGUCUGAAUCCAAACUGGACCAUUAUGAGCAUCUACCCUGACUGUCUUCGUGACACCAGGCAGAGAAUGUCACCUAGUGUCUCCUGCACCAGGUCUGUCAUCGCUGGAUGAACUAAAAUAUAUCCUCUAGAAAGAUAUCUGGCCAUGACUUGGACUCAUUAUCUGCACCGUUAAAAAAAAAUUCUUGUCUGAAUUGGUUUAUGUUGACUUUCAGGCACUGGAUCCAGUUAUACCCUAAUGUACUGGCUUAAAAGAGGCCUCUUUAACAGCUGGGCGAUUGCCAUACUGAGGACUAAGAGAAAAAAAAAGUGUAAUUCUUACGUCAUCUGCUUUUUCUUAAAGAAAAAUAUUCAAGGAUGGCCUCACUGAGGUCUAGAAGUGUGUUCAUUCUCUGUAGGUUUUCAGGCUUGAUCCAAAGCCCGUGGGAGCAAAUGGAAAGAUUUCCUUAGACUUGGACAGGCUUGCGAUCUGGCCUUAUGUGCCGAUUAAGAAGUUUCUUCCAGCAAAGGUUCACUGGAUGGCAGAAAGAAGAAUGCCUUCACAGAGCUACCAUGCAUGAUGCAUUCAGUGGUCCCUCCUUUCUCACGCAGCCCAUGUCCUGUCAUCAAACCAGAGGGAGAAUUCUGCCUUGUUUGGAUGUCUUGAAUGAGCUAUUGAAGUGAAGGGUUCUUCCUUAGCUGAAUUCGGGAAAGACUCAGAUGAGCUUUCACCGAGAGAAUUCAUAAAAGGGCACUAUCAUAACUUCCUUCACAACGAAGGGCAGUGAGAAGCUAUCCAUAAUUUGGACGGACUAACAGAUGAGAGAUUCAUCCUUUAUUUCAGCAAGUGAAACCAUUUCCAUGAGAAAGCUGCAGAGGAGGUUCUUGGAGUAAUUAACGUUCAGCCUGUUGUAAUAUUAGGCUACGGGCUACACCUCAGUAUGCUUUGGUAAAUGGAUGUAUCCGUCAUAUGAAAGUCAUCACUUUCCCUACAAUUUCUCCCUGUCCCCAGACAACCUGUAUUUUUUUGGCCUUCUUGGAGUCAGGUGUAACUGACACAGUUUCUUAAAGACAAUUUCUCUUA